This 311-nucleotide ribosomal RNA is filed under the name uncultured bacterium. RNAcentral describes it as "bacterial SSU rRNA". It matches the Rfam family "Bacterial small subunit ribosomal RNA", at positions 28 to 334 of the family's 1533-position model. The record is from RNAcentral.
GACGAACGCUGGCGGCGUGCUUAACACAUGCAAGUCGAACGCUGAAGCUCCCAGCUUGCUGGGGGUGGAUGAGUGGCGAACGGGUGAGUAACACGUGAGUAACCUGCCCCUGACUCUGGGAUAAGCGCUGGAAACGGUGUCUAAUACUGGAUAUGACCUAUCACCGCAUGGUGUGUGGGUGGAAAGAUUUAUCGGUUGGGGAUGGACUCGCGGCCUAUCAGCUUGUUGGUGAGGUAAUGGCUCACCAAGGCGACGACGGGUAGCCGGCCUGAGAGGGUGACCGGCCACACUGGGACUGAGACACGGCCCAG